GGAAAGAUGACCGAGUGGUCGAAGGUGUAGCACUGGAAAUGCUAUGUAGGUUUUUAACUUACCGAGGGUUCAAAUCCCUCUCUUUCCU
RNAcentral lists this transfer RNA (88 nucleotides) under Cylindrocystis brebissonii. RNAcentral's name for it is "tRNA-Ser". It matches the Rfam family "tRNA". Rfam says of the family: Transfer RNA (tRNA) molecules are approximately 80 nucleotides in length. The record is from RNAcentral. Lineage: Eukaryota; Viridiplantae; Streptophyta; Zygnematophyceae; Zygnematales; Mesotaeniaceae.